Molecule: unclassified non-coding RNA, 88 nt
Filed under: Pseudomonas sp. Z003-0.4C(8344-21)
Lineage: Bacteria; Pseudomonadati; Pseudomonadota; Gammaproteobacteria; Pseudomonadales; Pseudomonadaceae
Source: RNAcentral
GUAGGAGUGAGCCUGCUCGCGAUGGCGCAGUGUCAGUCGGCAAAGAUGUUGCCUGACCCGCCGCCAUCGCGAGCAGGCUCACUCCUAC